RNAcentral lists this unclassified non-coding RNA (205 nucleotides) under soil metagenome. Its description in RNAcentral is "partial contains 5.8S ribosomal RNA, internal transcribed spacer 2, and large subunit ribosomal RNA". The record is from RNAcentral.
AACACUGUUAACCUGCGGUACCUGCGGAGGGAUCAUUACCGAGUUUACAACUCCCAAACCCCUGUGAACAUACCUAUACGUUGCCUCGGCGGAUCAGCCCGCGCCCUGUAAAAAGGGACGGCCCGCCCGAGGACCCUAAACUCUGUUUUUAGUGGAACUUCUGAGUAAAACAAACAAAUAAAUCAAAACUUUUAACAACGGAUCU